Molecule: ribosomal RNA, 492 nt
Filed under: uncultured bacterium
Lineage: Bacteria
Description: partial 16S ribosomal RNA
Rfam family: Bacterial small subunit ribosomal RNA
Source: RNAcentral
AGUGAACGCUGGCGGCAUGCCUAAUACAUGCAAGUCGAACGGCAGCACAGUAAGCUCUUUCUCUUACGGUUGGCGACUGGCGGACGAGUAACGAAUACAUCACAUUCUUCUUUUUCUUGGGUGAUUACGUAGGGCAGCUUACGCUACUACAUCAUACGACCUACGGCUUGAAUCAAGAGUUCUUCACAGCUUUCCUGUCUCAAUGAGCUGAUGUCGGAUUAGCUAGUUGGCGGGGUAAAGUCCCACCAAGGCGACGAGCCGUAGCUGAUCUGAGAGGAUGAUCAGCCACACUGGAACUGAGACACGGUCCAGACUCCUACGGGAGGCAGCAGUGGGGAAUAUUGGACAAUGGGCGAAAGCCUGAUGCAGCAAUACCGCGUGGGUGAAGAAGGCCUUCGGGUUGUAAAGCUCUGUUGUUGGGAAAGAAAAGAUGCAGAUUAAAAUACGGAUGUUCUGACGGUACCCAAAGAGUAAGCAACGGCUAACUACGUG